UUUUUUUUUUUUUUAAAAAUCUGUUCCCUUUGCCCUUUAAACUGCAGAAUUUUUUUUUGGAGGCCCAUGAGGAUUCCUCUGCUGCUGUAGCACUCAUUGCUUCUCCAAAGGGUUCAAGUCAAGGAGGUUAUGCCAUCGUUGCUGUGUUUGCCUGGGAUGCAAGUACUCCUCCCUUGCUUUCAAGUUCAUGCAAAGAGCCAUAAACCACUGCUGGCCCUUCAUGUUCUCCCCUUAUCUUUUGCUCAGUAUUACUUUAUUGUUUGCCACAUGUAUUUGACUGUAUUUAUUUUCUAUGGACUCAGAUAUUUAUGAAACAUUCUGCCUAAACUCCCUCCUUCUAUUUUAGAUUCUGUAUUAUGUUAAUCUUGUCAGGAGCCUAAGCAGCUGGCUUCAAUUUCAGUGAACAUCCCGCUCUCCCUCAAAGGUUAAUGCUAGUUUUUGUGGGAGUUUCUCUCAACAUUUUCUUUCAGAUGCCAGCCACAGAGACUCUGUAAAUCAUCAACAUCCCCCCCGCAUUCAGAUUGAUCUAAGGCAUGUAAGGAAAUACUUCUGGGUUUUUGUUUGUGUUUGGUAGCACAUACAGUUCUGUUUCUUUUUAUUUUCAUUCAGAUUUGUCUAAGACAGUUUCUUUACCACCUUUGUCCAAACAAAAUGAACAAUAUUGAAAACAGCAUUUCAGAAUUGGAUAUUGCAAGGAGCAAAGCAAUCUUGCCACCUUUUUUUUUUUCCUGGCACCCGUUGUUUACAGCUCCAGAGGCUAUUUAAAGUAAACUUGCUUCAUAGCUGAGAAGUUGGUUGAUGAACAGUAGAGUCAUAUUUACAAGAAAGCUGCCUAAGGACAAUUCCAAGCAAAGGAGGAGAAAAAGACCUUUCCUGAUUACCAUGAGUUUAAACUCCUGUAUUGUAACCUUGAGAAUUCUGUUAUUCCCAUCCCUCAGCAACUUACACUUCAGACAGCAGCUGAAUGGUGGAGCUUUGUUGAUGGUUGUAAUCGUUGCUAGGGGACAGUCUGAGGGAGGUGAAUCAUGCCAUUUACAGUCAGCCUAAAGGGACAUUUGGAAAUGCUUGAGCUUAGAAAUUUCCUUCUGUGGUCUGCGUUGCUGAGAGUUGACUGCUUUAUAGCUGUGAAGAGUGCUUUAGAAAUACACACGAUGAUAAUGGAGGCAUGAAACAUCCUGGUGUCUUUAGAUGCUUGUACCUUUGUAUGUGUUUUAAAUGGUUGUUCUGGUGCUUCUUACUUCUUUGAGAACUGUGUUUUUAGUUAAAAGCUGACUGAGUGCAAAUGGUAUGAAAAGAAAGUUGUUGUGAAUCACGUUAAAAUUAAAUACUUACAAUGCAA
This 1339-nucleotide long non-coding RNA is filed under the name Strigops habroptila (Kakapo). RNAcentral's name for it is "lncRNA (ENSSHBG00005002540.1)". The record is from RNAcentral. Lineage: Eukaryota; Metazoa; Chordata; Aves; Psittaciformes; Psittacidae.